Molecule: ribosomal RNA, 440 nt
Filed under: uncultured bacterium
Lineage: Bacteria
Description: partial 16S ribosomal RNA
Rfam family: Bacterial small subunit ribosomal RNA
Source: RNAcentral
CCUACGGGAGGCAGCAGUAGGGAAUAUUGCUCAAUGGGGGAAACCCUGAAGCAGCAACGCCGCGUGGAGGAUGAAGGUUUUCGGAUUGUAAACUCCUUUUGUUAGAGAAGAUAAUGACGGUAUCUAACGAAUAAGCACCGGCUAACUCCGUGCCAGCAGCCGCGGUAAUACGGAGGGUGCAAGCGUUACUCGGAAUCACUGGGCGUAAAGAGCGCGUAGGCGGGAUAGCAAGUCAGAUGUGAAAUCCUAUGGCUUAACCAUAGAACUGCAGUUGAAACUGUUAUUCUAGAGUAUGGGAGAGGUAGGUGGAAUUCUUGGUGUAGGGGUAAAAUGCGUAGAGAUCAAGAGGAAUACUCAUUGCGAAGGCGACCUGCUAGAACAUAACUGACGCUGAGGCGCGAAAGCGUGGGGAGCAAACAGGAUUAGAUACCCGAGUAGUC